AGUUGAUCAUGGCUCAGGAUGAACGCUGGCGGCGUGCAUAACACAUUCAAGUCGAACGAAGCAUUGAGCGGAAGCUUCGGACGGAAGUUCAUAUGACUUAGUGGCGGACGGGUGAGUAACGCGUGAGCAACCUGCCUGUGAUAGAGGGAUAACACGUGGAAACGCGUGCUAAUACCACAUGAGGCGGAGAUAUCGCAUGGUAAUUCCGUUAAAGAUUUAUCGAUCGCAGAUGGGCUCGCGUAUGAUUAGGCAGUUGGUGAGGCAACGGCUCACCAAACCGACGAUCAUUAGCCGAACUGAGAGGUUGAACGGCCACAUUGGAACUGAGAAACGGUCCAGACUCCUACGGGAGGCAGCAGUGGGGAAUAUUGGGCAAUGGGCGAAAGCCCUGACCCAGCGACGCCGCGUGAGGGAAGAAGGUCUUCGGAUUGUAAACCUCUUUCAGUAGGGAAGAAGCAAGUGACGGUACCUACAGAAGAAGUCACGGCUAACUACGUGCCAGCAGCCGC
Molecule: ribosomal RNA, 509 nt
Filed under: uncultured bacterium
Lineage: Bacteria
Description: bacterial SSU rRNA
Rfam family: Bacterial small subunit ribosomal RNA
Source: RNAcentral